RNAcentral lists this ribosomal RNA (2908 nucleotides) under Bacillus anthracis str. Ames. RNAcentral's name for it is "bacterial LSU rRNA". It matches the Rfam family "Bacterial large subunit ribosomal RNA". Lineage: Bacteria; Bacillati; Bacillota; Bacilli; Caryophanales; Bacillaceae. The record is from RNAcentral.
GGGCGCACGGUGGAUGCCUUGACACUAGGAGUCGAUGAAGGACGGGACUAACGCCGAUAUGCUUCGGGGAGCUGUAAGUAAGCUUUGAUCCGAAGAUUUCCGAAUGGGGAAACCCACCAUACGUAAUGGUAUGGUAUCCUUAUCUGAAUACAUAGGGUAAGGAAGACAGACCCAGGGAACUGAAACAUCUAAGUACCUGGAGGAAGAGAAAGCAAAUGCGAUUUCCUGAGUAGCGGCGAGCGAAACGGAACAUAGCCCAAACCAAGAGGCUUGCCUCUUGGGGUUGUAGGACAUUCUAUACGGAGUUACAAAGGAACGAGGUAGACGAAGCGACCUGGAAAGGUCCGUCGUAGAGGGUAACAACCCCGUAGUCGAAACUUCGUUCUCUCUUGAAUGUAUCCUGAGUACGGCGGAACACGUGAAAUUCCGUCGGAAUCUGGGAGGACCAUCUCCCAAGGCUAAAUACUCCCUAGUGAUCGAUAGUGAACCAGUACCGUGAGGGAAAGGUGAAAAGCACCCCGGAAGGGGAGUGAAAGAGAUCCUGAAACCGUGUGCCUACAAAUAGUCAGAGCCCGUUAACGGGUGAUGGCGUGCCUUUUGUAGAAUGAACUGGCGAGUUACGAUCCCGUGCGAGGUUAAGCUGAAGAGGCGGAGCCGCAGCGAAAGCGAGUCUGAAUAGGGCGUUUAGUACGUGGUCGUAGACCCGAAACCAGGUGAUCUACCCAUGUCCAGGGUGAAGUUCAGGUAACACUGAAUGGAGGCCCGAACCCACGCACGUUGAAAAGUGCGGGGAUGAGGUGUGGGUAGCGGAGAAAUUCCAAUCGAACCUGGAGAUAGCUGGUUCUCCCCGAAAUAGCUUUAGGGCUAGCCUUAAGUGUAAGAGUCUUGGAGGUAGAGCACUGAUUGGACUAGGGGUCCUCAUCGGAUUACCGAAUUCAGUCAAACUCCGAAUGCCAAUGACUUAUCCUUAGGAGUCAGACUGCGAGUGAUAAGAUCCGUAGUCAAAAGGGAAACAGCCCAGACCGCCAGCUAAGGUCCCAAAGUGUGUAUUAAGUGGAAAAGGAUGUGGAGUUGCUUAGACAACUAGGAUGUUGGCUUAGAAGCAGCCACCAUUUAAAGAGUGCGUAAUAGCUCACUAGUCGAGUGACUCUGCGCCGAAAAUGUACCGGGGCUAAAUACACCACCGAAGCUGCGGAUUGAUACCAAUGGUAUCAGUGGUAGGGGAGCGUUCUAAGGACAGUGAAGUCAGACCGGAAGGACUGGUGGAGUGCUUAGAAGUGAGAAUGCCGGUAUGAGUAGCGAAAGACGGGUGAGAAUCCCGUCCACCGAAUGCCUAAGGUUUCCUGAGGAAGGCUCGUCCGCUCAGGGUUAGUCAGGACCUAAGCCGAGGCCGACAGGCGUAGGCGAUGGACAACAGGUUGAUAUUCCUGUACCACCUCUUUAUCGUUUGAGCAAUGGAGGGACGCAGAAGGAUAGAAGAAGCGUGCGAUUGGUUGUGCACGUCCAAGCAGUUAGGCUGAUAAGUAGGCAAAUCCGCUUAUCGUGAAGGCUGAGCUGUGAUGGGGAAGCUCCUUAUGGAGCGAAGUCUUUGAUUCCCCGCUGCCAAGAAAAGCUUCUAGCGAGAUAAAAGGUGCCUGUACCGCAAACCGACACAGGUAGGCGAGGAGAGAAUCCUAAGGUGUGCGAGAGAACUCUGGUUAAGGAACUCGGCAAAAUGACCCCGUAACUUCGGGAGAAGGGGUGCUUUCUUAACGGAAAGCCGCAGUGAAUAGGCCCAAGCGACUGUUUAGCAAAAACACAGCUCUCUGCGAAGCCGUAAGGCGAAGUAUAGGGGGUGACACCUGCCCGGUGCUGGAAGGUUAAGGAGAGGGGUUAGCGUAAGCGAAGCUCUGAACUGAAGCCCCAGUAAACGGCGGCCGUAACUAUAACGGUCCUAAGGUAGCGAAAUUCCUUGUCGGGUAAGUUCCGACCCGCACGAAAGGUGUAACGAUUUGGGCACUGUCUCAACCAGAGACUCGGUGAAAUUAUAGUACCUGUGAAGAUGCAGGUUACCCGCGACAGGACGGAAAGACCCCGUGGAGCUUUACUGUAGCCUGAUAUUGAAUUUUGGUACAGUUUGUACAGGAUAGGCGGGAGCCUUUGAAACCGGAGCGCUAGCUUCGGUGGAGGCGCUGGUGGGAUACCGCCCUGACUGUAUUGAAAUUCUAACCUACGGGUCUUAUCGACCCGGGAGACAGUGUCAGGUGGGCAGUUUGACUGGGGCGGUCGCCUCCUAAAGUGUAACGGAGGCGCCCAAAGGUUCCCUCAGAAUGGUUGGAAAUCAUUCGUAGAGUGCAAAGGCAUAAGGGAGCUUGACUGCGAGACCUACAAGUCGAGCAGGGACGAAAGUCGGGCUUAGUGAUCCGGUGGUUCCGCAUGGAAGGGCCAUCGCUCAACGGAUAAAAGCUACCCCGGGGAUAACAGGCUUAUCUCCCCCAAGAGUCCACAUCGACGGGGAGGUUUGGCACCUCGAUGUCGGCUCAUCGCAUCCUGGGGCUGUAGUCGGUCCCAAGGGUUGGGCUGUUCGCCCAUUAAAGCGGUACGCGAGCUGGGUUCAGAACGUCGUGAGACAGUUCGGUCCCUAUCCGUCGUGGGCGUAGGAAAUUUGAGAGGAGCUGUCCUUAGUACGAGAGGACCGGGAUGGACGCACCGCUGGUGUACCAGUUGUUCUGCCAAGGGCAUAGCUGGGUAGCUAUGUGCGGAAGGGAUAAGUGCUGAAAGCAUCUAAGCAUGAAGCCCCCCUCAAGAUGAGAUUUCCCAUAGCGUAAGCUAGUAAGAUCCCUGAAAGAUGAUCAGGUUGAUAGGUUCGAGGUGGAAGCAUGGUGACAUGUGGAGCUGACGAAUACUAAUAGAUCGAGGACUUAACCAU